UUUAAAAUUCAUCAUCUUCUCCAUUAUGCUCAGCAACUACCGCCAACCCUCCAAAUCUGGUGCUCUGGUUAACGUCUUUAGUGCCGGUAGCAGUGCUAUUGCCGGUGGUGGAACUUUUCUCCUUCCCUAGACCCGUAGCUUUGGUGACCUUCUUAUGACCAUCGGACCGCCACUCAGGGUAUCCAUCCGACAAGUCGGAAGCAUUGGUCCUUGAUAUGUUUUGUCAUACUACAGUGUUGGAAAGUUGUAAGGUGGUAAGCUCUUGAACGUUGGAGAAACUAUGCAUGGAUAUACAUGAGAAUCUUUAGCCUCAAUCAAGAAGGUUAUUUAUUAUUGUUAUUAUUAGUUUAUGAAAAUACUAAUUGGGAAAACAAUCUAGAAAUAUAAGAUAAUAAUAUUGAUGUUACGUUGAAUUAUAAGUGUUUCUAUAUU
Molecule: long non-coding RNA, 432 nt
Filed under: Helianthus annuus (common sunflower)
Lineage: Eukaryota; Viridiplantae; Streptophyta; Magnoliopsida; Asterales; Asteraceae
Description: hypothetical non coding rna
Source: RNAcentral